UGAGCUCCCAGCUCCUCUGAGUUUGUAUUUCUGGGCUUCUGAACGGCAGGACUUGCACACACUUAUAAAUGGAGAUCGUUGCUGUGUUCCUAACGCUGAAGGUGGAUAUUGGGACAUCCAGAGGAGAGAGGUGACCCUCAAACACAAAUGGGAGAAAGAGAGGGAAGGGGAGAGCCUGAGGGACAGGAGGCCUGGGAGACCGUCUCUAUCACAUCACAGUGUGGCCUGGAAGGGGGUGGGCAGGCCUGUGCACUGGUCUCCAGGACCAAGUGAGGGAGGAAGGACCCCUACAGCCAUGUUGACAGCAUCUUCCCCGUGGAGGGGAGGAGGGCAGAAGAUCUCACUACCUUGGACUCUCUAGUUAGCACUUCCUCAAACGUUAGCUUGAUUUACUGAGAAAUUGGAAGCAUCUGAAUGCAGGACAACGACACGAAAGAGACAGAGUCUUACUGUACCACCCUCCAGUAGAGUGCCAUGGCGUCACAGAUCACAGCAACCUCCAACUCUUGGGCUUACGCAAUUCUCUUGCCUCAGCCUCCCAAGCAGCUGGGACUAUAGGCACCCGCCACAACGCCCAGCCAUUUUUUUGUUGCAGUUUGGCCGGGGCUGGGUUUGAACCCACCACCCCCGGCAUAUGGGGCCCGUGCCCUACUCACUGAGCCACAGGCGUCGCCCAUAACAACAUUAUUUCUAAUAGCCAAAAGGUGGAAUAAUCCAAAUUUCCAUCAACUGAUGACUAGAUAAACAAAAUGUAUAAAUACAAUCCACACAAUGGAAUAUUAUUAAGCCAGCAAAAGGAAUGAAGUAUUAAUAUAGACGACAAUGUGGGUGAUGUGGAAAGCAUGCUGAGGGAAAGAAGACAGACACAAAGGCUACAUUUUGUAUUACUUUGUAAUUAUACAUAAGAUGCCCAGAAUAAACAAAUGUAUAGGAAUAGAAAGUAGAUUGGUGUUUGUUAUGGGACAGGGGUAGAGGUGAGGAAAAUGGGAAGUCAGUCCGGAUGGGUGUGGAUUUCUUUCUGGAGCAAUGAAAUGUGGUGAUGGUGGCACUAUGUCACUUGAAUGUACUAAAAGCCAUUGUAUUGUACACUUCAAAAGGGUGAAUUUUAUGAUAUGUGAAAUUGAUCUAAAUAAAGC
Molecule: long non-coding RNA, 1136 nt
Organism: Nycticebus coucang (slow loris)
Lineage: Eukaryota; Metazoa; Chordata; Mammalia; Primates; Lorisidae
Exons: 4
Source: RefSeq, a predicted model, not a curated record